Molecule: non-coding RNA, 81 nt
Organism: Podarcis lilfordi (Lilford's wall lizard)
Lineage: Eukaryota; Metazoa; Chordata; Lepidosauria; Squamata; Lacertidae
Source: the annotation of a GenBank genome assembly
GCUCUCUAGAUGGGAUAACUCAGUUGGUAAAACAUGAGACUCUUAAUCUCAGGGUCAUGGGUUUGAGCCACACACUGGGCA